RNAcentral lists this long non-coding RNA (306 nucleotides) under Mustela putorius furo (domestic ferret). RNAcentral describes it as "lncRNA (ENSMPUG00000029948.1)". Lineage: Eukaryota; Metazoa; Chordata; Mammalia; Carnivora; Mustelidae. The record is from RNAcentral.
CUCAGAUAACUUUGUUGUUAGCCCUAUUUUUAAGCACAUAUCCUAUUCUGUCUUUUGUUACAGUCAGAGGAUGUUGUAAUGGUUGAAAGGGUACUCUGGAAUCAGACUUGCUGGAUUUGAUCCCAUUUCUACAUCACUGCUACCUCAAGAAGUUCCUUCACAUUGCUGUGCCUCAGUUUCCUCAUCUUUAACAGCUCCACACACAACAUGGGGCUGGAACUGACAACCGGGAGGUCAAGAGUUGCGUGCUCUGAGGACUGAGCCAGCCACCUGCCCCAAAAUACCAGUGAUUUUGAAAAAGAUUCC